AUUGAACGCUGGCGGCAGGCCUAACACAUGCAAGUCGAGCGGAUGAAGGGAGCUUGCUCCUGGAUUCAGCGGCGGACGGGUGAGUAAUGCCUAGGAAUCUGCCUGGUAGUGGGGGAUAACGUCCGGAAACGGGCGCUAAUACCGCAUACGUCCUGAGGGAGAAAGUGGGGGAUCUUCGGACCUCACGCUAUCAGAUGAGCCUAGGUCGGAUUAGCUAGUUGGUGGGGUAAGGGCCUACCAAGGCGACGAUCCGUAACUGGUCUGAGAGGAUGAUCAGUCACACUGGAACUGAGACACGGUCCAGGCUCCUACGGGAGGCAGCAGUGGGGAAUAUUGGACAAUGGGCGAAAGCCUGAUCCAGCCAUGCCGCGUGUGUGAAGAAGGUCUUCGGAUUGUAAAGCACUUUAAGUUGGGAGGAAGGGCAGUAAGUUAAUACCUUGCUGUUUUGACGUUACCAACAGAAUAAGCACCGGCUAACUUCGUG
Molecule: ribosomal RNA, 484 nt
Filed under: uncultured bacterium
Lineage: Bacteria
Description: partial 16S ribosomal RNA
Rfam family: Bacterial small subunit ribosomal RNA
Source: RNAcentral